AGCCUUCCAAAUCAGUCCCGAGAUUUCAUCGGACACUAGUCUAUCGGGGCGGAGGAAACUCCAAAGAUAAGUAGGGCC
This is a non-coding RNA of Schistosoma mansoni, 78 nucleotides long. Lineage: Eukaryota; Metazoa; Platyhelminthes; Trematoda; Strigeidida; Schistosomatidae. The record is from Rfam.